Molecule: long non-coding RNA, 320 nt
Organism: Fundulus heteroclitus (mummichog)
Lineage: Eukaryota; Metazoa; Chordata; Actinopteri; Cyprinodontiformes; Fundulidae
Exons: 2
Source: RefSeq, a predicted model, not a curated record
CUCUUUUACCUUUGCAUUUCUGUGUCCAUUGAAUUGGAAAUAAUAUAUAUGCAAAAACUUUAUCAGAUAUAAAGUGGAGCACUAUAGCAAAAGCAGUAAUGCUCCACUUGUGAAAGUAAAUCUGUUGGGGUUUCUUUGGAACAAAGGCUAUGUGGCCGUUCAUACUAUUAAAUGGAACCGCUGCGGUCUGAACGGUUCUUGGAUGUGCAGAUAACAGAAGGAGAAGUCACAGAGCAGUGCACUGUUUAUGGAAGUAAUGGUGAAUGUAACUGUUUCUAGAAGGGUUCAAUAUAGUUUUAUUAAAAAAAACAAAAAAAAAA